GACGAACGCUGGCGGCGUGCUUAACACAUGCAAGUCGAACGGAAAGGCCCUGCUUUUGUGGGGUGCUCGAGUGGCGAACGGGUGAGUAACACGUGAGUAACCUGCCCUUGACUUUGGGAUAACUUCAGGAAACUGGGGCUAAUACCGGAUAGGAGCUCCUGCUGCAUGGUGGGGGUUGGAAAGUUUCGGCGGUUGGGGAUGGACUCGCGGCUUAUCAGCUUGUUGGUGGGGUAGUGGCUUACCAAGGCUUUGACGGGUAGCCGGCCUGAGAGGGUGACCGGCAAAAUGGGGACGGAGGGACGACCCAGAGCCGAAGGGGAGGAAGAGGGGGGAAGAAGGGAAAAGGGGGAGGAAGCGGGAGACAGAAGCGCCGGGGGGGGAAAGACGGCCUGGGGGUUAAAAACCGCUGUCGCCGGAGAAAAAGGGGGAGUGACGGUAAUGGAAAAAGAAGAACCGGAAAACUACGUG
Molecule: ribosomal RNA, 468 nt
Filed under: uncultured bacterium
Lineage: Bacteria
Description: partial 16S ribosomal RNA
Rfam family: Bacterial small subunit ribosomal RNA
Source: RNAcentral